AAACCAUCCAUGAAUUACUAAAAUUUCAUGUUACAAUGAAUAGUUCAAAGUGAUAUAACAACAAAACUCCUAUGAAUUAACAUCCUAUCUUCUCAACGUCGAAGUGGUAGUAAUAAUGUUAUGCACUUGACAAUUUAUAGGGGACCAGUGUAAGAGUUAGUGUCACCUGCAUGCGUGUUGGUUAGGCAAUUGAGUGUAGGGUCUACCCAUAUAUGAAAGUAACCCAGCCUAACCCUAAGUUCAAGUACUUCUCCACAAAUUCUGCAAUCAAACUGAAAAUGACACAAGUUCCAGUCUCAUUCUAUCCGCGGCACUACAAAUUCAAGGAAAGAAAGAAAGCUUCUUUUCUUUCAAAAGUUGUCACUUCUCGCCAUAUUCUCAGGUAUAUCUAUCUAUUUUGAGGUCCUAUCUCUCAGUUGCAUCAGAUAAUGUAAAUGGGGUAUUUGGUCGGUCCUCGAUCGGCUAAGUAUGUUCAAUACAUGUUUGCAGCAACUAAGGGAAUAUAUUAAGAGAAAGAAUUAGCAUGUUCCAAAUUAGAAUCUCUUUUAGGAUGAUAUGUCGAUCGGUUGUAUUAAUUCUUUUACUCUCACUCAAAAUUAUCCACCAAAUUCGUACUAGCAAUAACAACUUAAGUUAUGUAAUAGUAUACCUUAACCACAAAGGAAUAGAGAAUAGUGUCUUCCAUCCUACUUAUGUUCAGAUGAAGGAUCUCAAAGGAAAGUUUUUCCAAGACAUUGAUUAUCCUCACAAUUUGACC
This 757-nucleotide unclassified non-coding RNA is filed under the name Hevea brasiliensis (rubber tree). The record is from RNAcentral. Lineage: Eukaryota; Viridiplantae; Streptophyta; Magnoliopsida; Malpighiales; Euphorbiaceae.